CGCAACGCUUAACGUUGCGCGUGCAGUGGGUACGGGCUGACUAGAGUGCAGUAGGGGAGUCUGGAAUUCCUGGUGUAGCGGUGAAAUGCGCAGAUAUCAGGAGGAACACCGGUGGCGAAGGCGGGACUCUGGGCUGUAACUGACACUGAGGAGCGAAAGCAUGGGGAGCGAACAGGAUUAGAUACCCUGGUAGUCCAUGCCGUAAACGUUGGGCACUAGGUGUGGGGGACAUUCCACGUUCUCCGCGCCGUAGCUAACGCAUUAAGUGCCCCGCCUGGGGAGUACGGUCGCAAGGCUAAAACUCAAAGGAAUUGACGGGGGCCCGCACAAGCGGCGGAGCAUGCGGAUUAAUUCGAUGCAACGCGAAGAACCUUACCAAGGCUUGACAUACACCAGACCGUCCUGGAAACAGGUCCUCCUCUUUGAGGUUGGUGUACAGGUGGUGCAUGGUUGUCGUCAGCUCGUGUCGUGAGAUGUUGGGUUAAGUCCCGCAACGAGCGCAACCCUCGUUCUAUGUUGCCAGCACGUGAUGGUGGGAACUCAUAGGAGACUGCCGGGGUCAACUCGGAGGAAGGUGGGGAUGACGUCAAAUCAUCAUGCCCUUUAUGUCUUGGGCUUCACGCAUGCUACAAUGGCUGGUACAGAGAGAUGCGAGACCGCGAGGUUUUAGCGAAUCCCUUAAAGCCAGUCUCAGUUCGGAUCGUAGUCUGCAAUUCGACUACGUGAAGUCGGAGUCGCUAGUAAUCGCAGAUCAGCAACGCUGCGGUGAAUACGUUCCCGGGCCUUGUACACACCGCCCGUCAAGUCACGAAAGUCGGUAACACCCGAAGCCGGUGGCC
This 839-nucleotide ribosomal RNA is filed under the name Brevibacterium sp. RNAcentral's name for it is "bacterial SSU rRNA". It matches the Rfam family "Bacterial small subunit ribosomal RNA", at positions 601 to 1435 of the family's 1533-position model. Lineage: Bacteria; Bacillati; Actinomycetota; Actinomycetes; Micrococcales; Brevibacteriaceae. The record is from RNAcentral.